Long non-coding RNA from Salvia splendens (bonfire salvia), 627 nucleotides. RefSeq lists it as uncharacterized. The transcript is spliced from 3 exons. NCBI's taxonomy places the organism in Eukaryota, Viridiplantae, Streptophyta, Magnoliopsida, Lamiales, Lamiaceae. The record is from RefSeq and is a predicted model, not a curated record.
CAUCAACUUCCCCUCUCUUUAUCUAUCUUUUUCUCCACAUUAUUCACACACCCACACUUCAAAUUCAGAUCACCUUCUCAAAUUCUUUGGAUUCUACCAAAUUGUUCUUGUGCUCAAUUGUCAACCAACGCAAGGUACAAAGGCAUCCCAAAGGAAUUCCCGCGAUAGGGGAUAACUCAUGAACUUCAAAGAACGUCAAGCUAAAGAUGAAAAAUAAGCGCUUGUUGGGAGGCAACCCAACCAUUUAUUUUCAGGUUUUGCAGUAUUUUUGUGUUUUAAAUUCGUUUUGUGUUGAUUGAAAUUUUCGCAGCUUCUGGACCAUUCCCAGCGACCGCUGUGGCACGCGCAGCGGCCCGCUGGCGACUCACUGGACAAGUUUUGACACUCCACAGCGACCGCUGGAGGGCCCCCAGCGCCCGCCGCCCAAUUGCAAUUUCCAGAAUGAUUUUUCGAAUUUUUCAAAUUUUCACCCCGUCCAGCAACUACGCGAAAUAUUUUAUGGUGUGUGAAGAUUUUUGCCAGGUCCGGGAAAGGAGGAGGACAGUUGCGUGGAGCUAGGAAAUAGGCGAAUGAGUGGACAUUAUGCGGAAAAUUGCUUGACGGAGGAAGCCUCGGAAUUGAAGGGUA